AUAUCUUUGAUUUAAAAUUUUAAUGUCAUAUUAUUACAUUUUGUAAGAUUUUUAUUUUUAGCCGUUGAUUUUGAGCCCCUUCGUUCACUAGGCAAAUGAUAUCGUAAAAUCAUAAAAUUUAUUUUCUAGGUACUUCAAAUACUCUAAAUCAAGUUUAAUGAAGCCGAUCGACAAUUCGAAAGUUGCAACAUCGAAAACGAGCUGGAAGCACGGAAAGCUUCGUGCUUCCGAUAGCAUACUAGCCUCACUCUAUAUAUAUAUAGAGUGAGGUUACUAUGCUAUCGGAAGCACGGAACCUUCCGUGCUUCCAGCUCGUUUUCGAUGUUGCGACUUUCGAAUCGUCGAUUGGCUCCGUUAAAUAUGAUCUAUACUACUUAAAGUGUUUAGAAAUCAAAUUCAUACAUUUUCAAUAUUGUUCUCUUAUCCAUUGAGUAACACAAAAAUGAAUGGCGAAAAAUGAAUAUUUUUUAAAAAAUGAUGAUAGGAGUCUUCUAAUCAAGAUUAAGAGUAUAGAUCUUGUUUUAACUAGUUUAAAGAAUUUUCUAACAAAAAUUCAAUUAAUUUGGAUAUCUUUAUGCCGUUAAAAGAGAAAACGCCUCUUAUCGAUCAUUAAAAUUACAAAUUUGAAACCCUUUGAUCAUUAGACAAAUGAUGUCGAAAAAAUUUGAAAUUUGAUUUCUAAACACUUUAAGUGGUAUAGAUCAUGUUCAACGAAGCCGAUCGUUAAUUUGGAAGUUCUAUCAUCGAAAAUAAAUCGGUAGUAAAACGGCUCGUUUACUACCGAUAGUAUUCUAGCUCAACUAUAUAUAUAUAUAUAUAUAUGAGUGGGCUGGUAUGCUUAUGGAAGCACGGAGCCCUCCGUGCUUCCAAGUUGUUUUCGAUGUUCGGACUUUCGAAUCGACGAUCGGCUCCGUUAGAGUUGAUCUAGAGUAUUUGAAGUACUAGAAAAUAAAUUUUGUGAUUUUUCGAUAUCAUUUGCCUAGUGAUCGAAGGGGCCCAAAAUCAAUAAUUUUAACAACCGUGGUGAGCCGGUUGCAAGUUUAACGGUGUAGAAAUAUCCAAAUUACAUGAAAUUUUGAUAGAAAAUUCUUUAUACUAUAUAAAACAAGAUCAAUAACUUUGAUCUAAAAUUUUAAUGUCAUAUCAUCAUAUUUUGUAAGAUUUUUAUUUUCAGCCGUUGAUUUUGAGCCACUUCGAUCACUAGGCAAAUGAUAUCGAAAAAUCACAAAAUUAAUUUAUUUUCUAGAUACUUCAAAUACUCUAGAUCAAGUCUAACGGAGCCGAUCGUCAAUUCGAAAGUCCGAACAUCGAAAACAAAGUCGAAGCACGGAGCACUCCGUGCUUCCAUAAGC
This 1352-nucleotide long non-coding RNA is filed under the name Ananas comosus (pineapple). Its description in RNAcentral is "long non-coding RNA (ACOM_LNC043418)". The record is from RNAcentral. Lineage: Eukaryota; Viridiplantae; Streptophyta; Magnoliopsida; Poales; Bromeliaceae.